Molecule: ribosomal RNA, 496 nt
Filed under: uncultured bacterium
Lineage: Bacteria
Description: partial 16S ribosomal RNA
Rfam family: Bacterial small subunit ribosomal RNA
Source: RNAcentral
GAUGAACGCUAGCGGCAGGCCUAACACAUGCAAGUCGAGGGGUAUUAGGAGCUUGCUCCUAAGAGACCGGCGCACGGGUGCGUAACGCGUAUGCAAUCUACCUUUUACAGGGGAAUAGCCCAGAGAAAUUUGGAUUAAUGCCCCAUAGUAUAUAUUAUUCGCAUGUUUGAUAUAUUAAAGUUCCAACGGUAAAAGAUGAGCAUGCGUCCCAUUAGUUAGUUGGUAAGGUAACGGCUUACCAAGACGAUGAUGGGUAGGGGUCCUGAGAGGGAGAUCCCCCACACUGGUACUGAGACACGGACCAGACUCCUACGGGAGGCAGCAGUGAGGAAUAUUGGACAAUGGGCGCAAGCCUGAUCCAGCCAUGCCGCGUGCAGGAAGAAGCAUCUAUGGUGUGUAAACUGCUUUUGUACGGGAAGAAACACCCCUUCGCGAAGGGACUUGACGGUACCGUAAGAAUAAGGAUCGGCUAACUCCGUGCCAGCCGCCGCAGUAA